GGGAGGGCGCUGAGCAGGGAGCACCCAAGUUGGUCUGUCUUUACUCCUGGGACCACUCCAGCUUUGCAACCAUCUGGACAGAAAAAGCAUCCAAGUGGGUACCAGCGUUAUGGAUCGAAUGUUUGUGUUCCCCCUACAACAUCCGUAUGUUAAAACCCUAACCCCCAGUGUGAUGGCAUUUGGGGGUGGGGCCUUCAGGGCUCAUUAGGUUUAGAUGUGGUUCUGAGGGUGGGGCCUCCAUGGUGGUAUUAAUGUCCUCAUAAGAAGAGAAAGACGACCAGCACCUCCUCUGUCUCCACGGGCACUUCAACAAGGAAAGGCCAUGUAAGGACAUAGCAAGAAGUUGACUGUCUACAAGCCAGGAAGGGGGUCCUCACCAAGAUCCAAAUCAGCUGGGACUUGGACCUCCAGCCCAGUUUGUUGUUUCAUUAUAGCUCCCAAGUCAACUAUGACAACUGGUAUUAUUGGUCUGACCACACACAAUCCCUGUGCAGUGGUCCACUCAGACCCCAGGGCUCGCAUUGCUGGAUGCCAAGGUCAGACCCGCUCCCAUGCACCCUGCACCCUGCAUACAAGAUCUUAGCUCCCUAACCAGGGAUCAAACCUGAGUCCCCUGCAGUAGAAGUGUGGAGUCUUAAACACUGGACCAGCGGUUAAGGAAUGGCAUUUCUUAAUCAUUCUUAACCAUGAAUAGGAUUGUCCCUAAUCCAUUUUUAAAAUAUUGUUAGCUUUAUUUUCACAAUUCAAAGGCACAAGGGGCUAAAGAAGGCAGAUGUUUGAUUUUCAGCCAAUUCCCCAGGUGGGUAUCAGUGAGUUAUAAGAAAACGACAUGACUUCUCUCCGCCCCAGUCUUUGGUAUUCAUACAAUUUUAAGUGUCAUUUCCCCAGGUUUUGAUUGUUUGUUCUGGUUCCCUGUCUGUUUCCCUGUGACCCAGGGCUGUAACACGUGAGGAGCUAAGGAUGCUCAGACAGGAGGGUGGAUGGUGUGCCCCCACCGAAUUCUGAGACCCAUUGAGGGUGGCUGCCUGACCUCAGUGUCUAAGGGGCCUUGCUCACCCACCUGCUCGGCCCCAGGCUGCCUAAAUUUGGGGCUUUGAAAAAAUAGGAACCUGGAAGUAAACUCUCUCCAAGGCUUCUUGCUCCAUCCUCCACACCUCCUACAAGAUAGAUAUUCUGAUUAUGCCCAUUUUAAGGGUGGAGAGGCUGAGACACCAGCAAGGUAAGCAACUCGUCCAAAGACACGGAACUAGUAGGUGAUGAAAACUAGGACUCAAGCCCAGAUAAUGUGAAAUAAGCCCCUGCUGUUAAUCUCUCCUGCCUUCCUGAUUCUCACAGCAUCUUACCUACUGUGUCCUCAAUACAUGUGAAUGAGAUAUCUCAUUCACGUGAAUGAUGAAAACAGGUUAGACAAGGUCCGGCCAAGGGACAGCCCCUCGGCACCCCCAGAAUGGCCUCAGUCCCCAUCAGUAGCCUCUGAUUCUGGCUGUUGAAUGGACUUCCAACCCACAAAAAAGCAGAAGAGAUGGGAACAAUUUAGUCAAGUCAAACAGUGCCUUUAUAAACAAAAAGAAAUUCAGUUAUUUUGAUGCUUGACUUUUUCUUACUACUUUCAAAUUGGGUCCCAAUUAUUUAGGAGGUCCUAAAUAAUCUGUUCCGGAGUUUUGCCCCAGACCAAUAUCAAUUUAGAGAUUGUGGUUUAUGAAAGUCUUACUCUUUUUCCCUUCUUGAAAAUUGGGACAUUUGCCUGCAUCUGGUUUUCUGGGAUUGUCCAUUUUCCAUAUCUCAUUCACUCCCUCACCACAUUUAUUGAGCAUUUGCCAUACACCAGGCAACAAGGGGAGUCAGGCAGGCAGCCAGCAAUUCUGAUUUCUCAAGGGGGUAAGGGGUGUGUUUGGUCUGGGUCUGGAGAUUUGAACUCCCAAAGGGGCAGCUGCUUGCCCUCUGGCUCCUGCCUUCCUCCUCCCGCCCCAGAAUAUUCCUGACCUGGCUGUCCCAGACGCAUUUCCGCAGUCCUUGUGCUGUUCUUUGCAUUGGGGUGAACUUUCAGGUCCUUCUGAGUUUUGCCUCUCUGAGGCUUUUACAGAAAUCUGUCCCUCUUGCCUUCGCUUCGUCAUCCUCACUUCUGACCUUCGGCUUCUGUCUUUUGACCUUUUCAAAUUCUGAAAUCCUCAGAAGCACCCAAUAUGUUUGGGUGUUUCAGAGGCUUGUCUUCCCAUCCCUGUGGUGGUCUCAGGUUUGUUUGUUUUUUUAAUCACUUGGGAUUUAAGGAGGAGGGGCAGAUCUUGAGUCAUCCGGAAACACCUCUGCCCUUCUGGAGGGAGCCGACUCCAAGAUGCGAGAGUGCUGCUUCCAGGGUGUGGUGGCUCCGCCUGGAUUUACAGACGUGGGGAGGCACAAGACUUCAUCAGCUCCGGCUCACAGCUUUCUACAGACUUCGCUGAGCGGUCUCGCCGGUCACGUGUGGGAAACAGACAAAGGAGGUCAGCGCUGAUUGGACAGCUGAGCCUCCCCCGACCAACGGGACUGAGACACGCCCUAGUGACGAGAUGCUAAUUUUGCAUGUUUCUUUCCCAGGAUGCUCAGCAGUGCUUCUGAUUCUUGUCAUUAAACACAUUUCUGUUAUUUUUUGAUAAAUAGGUGCUCUCGGGGCGGGGGUGUGUGUGUUAAGAGGUGCAUAUUAUUCAUAUUGCAAGUGUUGUACUUUAUAGAUGCCAACUGAAAUAUCACUGUAAGGUAAAAGUGAAUGAAUACUUGAGCUUUAAGUACUGUAGGCGGCUGCAAUGUACAUCGGCUGGUCCGAAGGUAGUGAGUUAUCUCAAUUGAUUGUUCACAGUCAGUUACAGAUCGAACUCCUCGUUCUACUCUUCCCCCCUUCUCACUACUGCACUUGACUAGUCUUUUGCAGAUCUGUCCCCUUUUCUAAUUAUUAAAUACAUUGUUCUUGUCUUGAUUUUGAUUAAAAAAAUUUGGAAGUCAA
Molecule: long non-coding RNA, 2977 nt
Organism: Bos taurus (domestic cattle)
Lineage: Eukaryota; Metazoa; Chordata; Mammalia; Artiodactyla; Bovidae
Source: Ensembl